This 333-nucleotide ribosomal RNA is filed under the name uncultured bacterium. Its description in RNAcentral is "bacterial SSU rRNA". It matches the Rfam family "Bacterial small subunit ribosomal RNA", at positions 1049 to 1382 of the family's 1533-position model. The record is from RNAcentral.
CUGCCGUCAGCUCGUGUCGUGAGAUGUUGGGUUAAGUCCCGCAACGAGCGCAACCCUUACCCUUACGUUGUUUUCCCGAAAGGAUUACCCUCUAAGGGGACUGCCCCGGACAACGGGGAGGAAGGUGGGGAUGACGUCAAGUCCGCAUGCUCCUUACGUCUAGGGCUACACACGUCCUACAAUGGGGUCGACAGUGGGAUGCAAAGCCGCGAGGUGGAGCCAAUCCCCAAACGGCCUCUCAGUUCGGAUAGUAGUCUGCAACUCGACUACUUGAAGUCGGAAUCACUAGUAAUCGCGGAUCAGCACGCCGCGGUGAAUACGUUCCCGGGCCUU